UUCAUAAGCUUGAAGUGAGACCAUUCAGCAUAAUUCUAUAUCUUUCUCCAGCCACUGUUAGUGGAGGGUGGAGGUUUGGCAUUGGCAGAGAGUUGCAUUUUAACCAAGAUUCUAGUUGUCCAAGUAAGUAUGAUAAAUCUGAAAACAGGCAAAAGAGUCAAGGGUAUACAUAAGGGACCAGUUACAAAGUUUGGUCUUGGAAUUUAAGCUUGGCAAGUAGGAUAAGGAUAAGCAGUAGUGGAAUUGUGGUAGAUCAGUGGAUUGGAGGUCCCAGUGAAUUGGAAUGAUGAUUGGGAAUGGGAUAGUACAAGGAGUGAUCUGGGAAGAUUGGAGGUGGUGGUCAGAGGGUGGAAUGCAUGACUUUGACAUUAGAAAGAGUUGCAUUUAUUUGUAAUGACGUGGUCUUAAGGCAAUGAUCAUGAUUAGAGGCUGUGGUAGAUGUGGUAGAAUGGUUAACAUGGUCAAUGGAGAAGAGAAGAGAAAGUUCAAGGAACUGAAAGGCCAGGGUGUGGGCAUGAUGAUCUACUUGUGUAUUCAUAGGUUCAAGAAUUAAGGCAGGAGUAGCUCUGGAGGGUACAACUAUGAAUCAGGAUCUAGAGUCAAGAGAAAUGAAAAGAAAGCAGAGUCAUUAACCAAUGAGUGAUAUAUGAUGAUGUUAGAUUCAAGCUGGCACUUCCAGGGGAGAGAGAGGGAGCAGUGUCUGAAAGUCAUGAGGAGCAAGGGUGACACCUACUCCUCUCCAGGCUUGAAGAUCUGAAGGCUCCAAAAGGAAAAGCAGUCUCCAAUUGGAAGGUUGAUAGGGUAUUCUCAAGAAAGCCAGGUUUUGAUGAAAGUAAGAAGGUGAAGGGGGUGUUCAAAGCAUGUUUGUGAAAAUAGAGGUGCGGCAUCCAGCCAUCAAGAUGAUACCCAGUGAUCCUUACUGCCAGAUACCUGGUUCUUAGUGAAUCCAGCCACCAGACCAUGAGGACACUCAGGAAGCCCUGUCGAGAGGCCCUUAUGGAGAGGAAGAGAAGUUUCCCCCAACAACUACCACAAACUUGCCAGUAUGCAAGUGAGCUACAUUAAAAGCAGAUAAAAGCAGAUCCUUUCAGUCAAACUUUCAGAUGACUGCAGCCUUGUAAGAGAUGCCAAGCUGAAAGUGUCUAACCAAGCCAUCACCUGACUUUUAAUCUGCAAAAACUGUGCUAUAUACUAAAUGAUUAUUUUUAUUUUA
Molecule: long non-coding RNA, 1213 nt
Organism: Bubalus bubalis (water buffalo)
Lineage: Eukaryota; Metazoa; Chordata; Mammalia; Artiodactyla; Bovidae
Exons: 2
Source: RefSeq, a predicted model, not a curated record